AUUGAACGCUGGCGGCAGGCCUAACACAUGCAAGUCGAGCGGAUGAAGGGAGCUUGCUCCUGGAUUCAGCGGCGGACGGGUGAGUAAUGCCUAGGAAUCUGCCUGGUAGUGGGGGAUAACGUCCGGAAACGGGCGCUAAUACCGCAUACGUCCUGAGGGAGAAAGUGGGGGAUCUUCGGACCUCACGCUAUCAGAUGAGCCUAGGUCGGAUUAGCUAGUUGGUGGGGUAAAGGCCUACCAAGGCGACGAUCCGUAACUGGUCUGAGAGGAUGAUCAGUCAAACUGGAACUGAGAAACGGUCAAAACCCCUAGGAGAGGCAGAAGUGGGGAAUAUUGGAAAAUGGGCGAAAGCCUGCACCAGCCAGGCCGGGGGGGUGAAGAAGGUUUUCGGAUUGUAAAGCCCUUUAAGUUGGGAGGAAGGGAAGUAAGUUAAAACCUUGCUUUUUUGACGUUACCAAAAGAAUAAGCACCGGCUAACUUCGU
RNAcentral lists this ribosomal RNA (483 nucleotides) under uncultured bacterium. Its description in RNAcentral is "partial 16S ribosomal RNA". It matches the Rfam family "Bacterial small subunit ribosomal RNA", at positions 30 to 506 of the family's 1533-position model. The record is from RNAcentral.